This 459-nucleotide ribosomal RNA is filed under the name uncultured bacterium. RNAcentral describes it as "partial 16S ribosomal RNA". It matches the Rfam family "Bacterial small subunit ribosomal RNA", at positions 338 to 795 of the family's 1533-position model. The record is from RNAcentral.
CCUACGCGUGGCAGCAGUGAGGAAUAUUGGUCAAUGGCCGCAGGGCUGAACCAGCCAAGUCGCGUGAGGGAUGACGGUCCUAUGGAUUGUAAACCUCUUUUGUCAGGGAGCAAAGGGCGCCACGUGUGGCGCUUUGCGAGUACCUGAAGAAAAAGCAUCGGCUAACUCCGUGCCAGCAGCCGCGGUAAUACGGAGGAUGCGAGCGUUAUCCGGAUUUAUUGGGUUUAAAGGGUGCGCAGGCGGAAUGUCAAGUCAGCGGUAAAAUUUCGGGGCUCAACCCCGUCGUGCCGUUGAAACUGGCGUUCUUGAGUGAGCGAGAAGUAGGCGGAAUGCGUGGUGUAGCGGUGAAAUGCAUAGAUAUCACGCAGAACUCCGAUUGCGAAGGCAGCAUACCGGCGCUCAACUGACGCUCAUGCACGAAAGCGUGGGUAUCGAACAGGAUUAGAUACCCCAGUAGUC